CCUACGGGAGGCAGCAGUAGGGAAUAUUGCUCAAUGGGGUAAACCCUGAAGCAGCAACGCCGCGUGGAGGAUGACUGUCUUCUGAUUGUUAACUCCUUUUUGUAGAGAAGAUAAUGACGGUAUCUAACGAAUAAGCACCGGCUAACUCCGAGCCAGCAGCCGCGGUAAUACGGAGGGUGCAAGCGUUACUCGGAAUCACUGGGCGUAAAGAGGGCUUAGGCGGGAUAGCAAGUCAGUUGUGAAAUCCUAGGGCUUAACCAUAGAACUGCAGUUGAAACUGUUAUUCUAGAGUAGGGGAGAGGUAGGUGGAAUGCGUGGUGUAGGGGUAAAAUGCGUAGAGAUCAAGAGGAAUACUCAUUGCGAAGGCGGCCUGCUAGAACAUAACUGACGCUGAUGCGCGAAAGCGUGGGGAGCGAACAGGAUUAGAUACCCGAGUAGUC
Molecule: ribosomal RNA, 440 nt
Filed under: uncultured bacterium
Lineage: Bacteria
Description: partial 16S ribosomal RNA
Rfam family: Bacterial small subunit ribosomal RNA
Source: RNAcentral